This 21-nucleotide non-coding RNA is filed under the name Caenorhabditis elegans. Lineage: Eukaryota; Metazoa; Nematoda; Chromadorea; Rhabditida; Rhabditidae. The record is from RNAcentral.
UUUCAAUAUCAUUUUUAGUCA